UGCGAGUCGAGAGCUUUCGGAGCUCGGCAUACUGCUCAGUAACACGUGGGUAACCUGCCCUGUGCUGGGGGAUAACCUCGGGAAACUGAGAACAAUACCCCAUAGUCCACUACGCCUGGAACGGUGAGUGGAUGAAAGCCCCGGCGGCACAGGAUGGGCCUGCGGCGUAUCAGGUAGUAGGGGGUGUAAAGUACCCUCUAGCCUUCGACGCGUACGGGUUGUGAGAGCAAUAGCCCGGAGAUGGAUUCUGAGACACGAAUCCAGGUCCUACGGGACGCAGCAGUCGCGAAACCUUGACAAUGCGGGAAACCGUGAUCAGGGGACUCCAAGUGCCAGGAGUAAGAUCCUGUGCUUUUCUUUUCUCUUCAAAGGAUUUGGAAUAAGAGGUGGGUAAGGACGGUGCCAGCCGCCGCGGUAAUACCGGCGCCUCGAGUGGUAGUCGAUUUUAUUGGGCCUAAAACGUCCGUCGCCGGUCUGGUGCAUUCGUGGGUAAAUCAACCCGCUCAACGGGUUGAAUUCUGCGAGCACGGCCAGACUAGGGACCGGGAGAGGUGUGGGGUACGCUCGGGGUAGGGGUAAAAUCCUGUCAUCCCGAGCGGACCACCUGUUGCGAAGGCUCCACACUAGAACGGAUCCGACGGUCAGGGACGAAGCCUAGGGGCACGAACCGGAUUAGAUACCCGGGUAGUCCUAGGUGUAAACGCUGUGGACUUGGUGUUGGGAGCUCCCAGAGGGCUCUCAGUGCCGUAGCGAAGGUGAUAAGUCCACUGCCUGGGGAGUACGGUCGCAAGGCUGAAACUUAAAGGAAUUGGCGGGGGAACACCGCAACCUGAGGAUUGUGCGGUUUAAUUGGAUUCAACGCCGGG
This 866-nucleotide ribosomal RNA is filed under the name uncultured archaeon. Its description in RNAcentral is "bacterial SSU rRNA". It matches the Rfam family "Archaeal small subunit ribosomal RNA", at positions 52 to 922 of the family's 1478-position model. The record is from RNAcentral.